GGGGGUAUAGCUCAGUGGUAGAGCGCCUGCUUAGCAUGCAUGAGGUCCUGGGUUCAAUCCCCCGCACCUCAU
RNAcentral lists this transfer RNA (72 nucleotides) under Camelus ferus (Wild Bactrian camel). It matches the Rfam family "tRNA". From Rfam's summary of the family: Transfer RNA (tRNA) molecules are approximately 80 nucleotides in length. Their secondary structure includes four short double-helical elements and three loops (D, anti-codon, and T loops). Further hydrogen bonds mediate the characteristic L-shaped molecular structure. tRNAs have two regions of fundamental functional importance: the anti-codon, which is responsible for specific mRNA codon recognition, and the 3' end, to which the tRNAs corresponding amino acid is attached (by aminoacyl-tRNA synthetases). tRNAs cope with the degeneracy of the genetic code in two manners: having more than one tRNA (with a specific anti-codon) for a particular amino acid; and 'wobble' base-pairing, i.e. permitting non-standard base-pairing at the 3rd anti-codon position. Lineage: Eukaryota; Metazoa; Chordata; Mammalia; Artiodactyla; Camelidae. The record is from Rfam by way of RNAcentral.